GGGGUUGUAGCUCAGUGGUUCCAGCGCCUGCCUCGUAAGCAGAAGAACCUGAGUUUGAUCCUCCGUGGUACCA
RNAcentral lists this transfer RNA (73 nucleotides) under Heterocephalus glaber (naked mole-rat). It matches the Rfam family "tRNA". Rfam says of the family: Transfer RNA (tRNA) molecules are approximately 80 nucleotides in length. Their secondary structure includes four short double-helical elements and three loops (D, anti-codon, and T loops). Lineage: Eukaryota; Metazoa; Chordata; Mammalia; Rodentia; Bathyergidae. The record is from Rfam by way of RNAcentral.